UGCAAGUCGAGCGGUAAGGCUCUGCACAGGUUGUUUGAUCAAGAAUUAAAUUUCUUUAUACCCCUUCUAGGCUAGAAGAGGCGACGUAUCGAAUGAUGUGUGUAGAGUACACGAGCGGCGGACGGCUGAGUAACGCGUAGGAACAUACCCCAAAGUGAGGGAUAACUGCCCGAAAGGGUAGCUAAUACCGCAUGUGGUCUUCGGAUUAAAGCUUUAUGCGCUUUGGGAAUGGCCUGCGUCUGAUUAGUUUGUUGGUGAGGUAAUGGCUCACCAAGACUACGAUCGGUAGCUGGUCUGAGAGGAUGAUCAGCCAGACUGGAACUGAGACACGGUCCAGACUCCUACGGGAGGCAGCAGUAGGGUAAUUUUCCACAAUGGACGAAAGUCUGAUGGAGCAACGCCGCGUGCAGGAUGAAGGCCCUUGGGUUGUAAACUGCUUUUAUGUGCGAAGAUUAUGACAGUAACACAUGAAUAAGGGUCGGCUAACUACGUG
This 493-nucleotide ribosomal RNA is filed under the name uncultured bacterium. RNAcentral's name for it is "bacterial SSU rRNA". It matches the Rfam family "Bacterial small subunit ribosomal RNA", at positions 56 to 507 of the family's 1533-position model. The record is from RNAcentral.